AAAUGAAUUGACGGGGGCCCGCACAAGCGGAGGAACAUGUGGUUUAAUUCGAUGAUACGCGAGGAACCUUACCCGGGCUUGAACUGCAGUAGUGGAAGUCAGAGAUGGCUUUGUCCCUUCGGGGCUGCUGUGGAGGUGCUGCAUGGUUGUCGUCAGCUCGUGCCGUGAGGUGUCGGCUUAAGUGCCAUAACGAGCGCAACCCCUUUCUUCAGUUGCCAUCGGGUAAUGCCGGGGACUCUGUAGAUACUGCCACCGUAAGGUGUGAGGAAGGUGGGGAUGACGUCAAAUCAGCACGGCCCUUACGUCCGGGGCUACACACGUGUUACAAUGGCAGGUACAGCCGGUUGGGGUUAUGCAAAUAAUCUCUAAUCCUAAAAACCUGUCUCAGUUCGGACUGGGGUCUGCAACCCGACCCCACGAAGCUGGAUUCGCUAGUAAUCGCGCAUCAGCCAUGGCGCGGUGAAUACGUUCCCGGGCCUUGUACACACCGCCCGU
Molecule: ribosomal RNA, 495 nt
Filed under: uncultured bacterium
Lineage: Bacteria
Description: bacterial SSU rRNA
Rfam family: Bacterial small subunit ribosomal RNA
Source: RNAcentral